Molecule: long non-coding RNA, 743 nt
Organism: Hylaeus volcanicus
Lineage: Eukaryota; Metazoa; Arthropoda; Insecta; Hymenoptera; Colletidae
Exons: 3
Source: RefSeq, a predicted model, not a curated record
AAAUAUGCAUGAAGGAAAUAAUUCAUUAAUAUACACUUACGCGUCGCUAAUCCCGGUAAAUGUUUGUGAAGUAAACAAUCUAGCCACUCCUGCGGAGUUUCAUCCAUUUGAGGUACAAAUGGUGACAGUAUUACAGGACCAUGCUGUAGGUGUUCGAAAUCGAGUUUUUGUGGAAACCACUCCAUAAAACACCCCAACGUGCAUAAGUCACCACUUAGACUUACAAUUGACUAUUUUAAUAUCACAAGAAUGUCCUUAUAGUAAAAUAAUCAAAAAAAGGUUACAUUUUUUACAUUUAAAAGAUACCUUUUUUAAUAUAGGAGUUCAAAAAGUUAGGCAACACUUUAAGUAUUUGCCUUAUCAUAUUAAAAGCAUUUCAGUCUUUUCAUGAUUGGAUUCCAGCAUAGGUUACUGUUGAUGUCACAGAUGUUAUUCAAUCAAGUUCCUCGUAAUCGUAGUCUAUUUUAAAAAAUAGUUUCACUCCGUUGUAGGAGUAAUUACAUUUGUAUUAGAAGGGUUAUUUCCAUGUGGAAUAUCAAAUAAAACUUAAUUCUGUCUCAUGUCCUCUUUGAUUACGUCAUUGUAACAACAAGAUGUUACUACGUAAAAUUUGCAAAACAACAAGCUGUAAUCCAUGGAGUAGUAGGCUGGAUUCGAAAUAAUGCGGAGGAUGGUUCUGUACAAGGAGUUGUUGAGGGAUCUCAGAAAUCUAUAAAAGAAAUGUGUUAUUGGCUUUCAAAGGU